Long non-coding RNA from Oryzias melastigma (Indian medaka), 491 nucleotides. RefSeq lists it as uncharacterized. NCBI's taxonomy places the organism in Eukaryota, Metazoa, Chordata, Actinopteri, Beloniformes, Adrianichthyidae. The record is from RefSeq and is a predicted model, not a curated record. The transcript is spliced from 3 exons.
AAAAAAGAACACAAAGCUGAAGAUAAAAAGGUCGGCUUCUCUGUGGUUUGAACUGAAAAACAUAAACUCCAACGGAUUGUUUUCUAUGAAACCCUGGAUGUUGGAGACAUGGGUGUUGACCUGCCAACCGCUUAUCAAAUUAACCUUCCCGCCCUGCAGAGAAAGGUCAUGGAGGGGCUUCAGCCGCUGUCUGCCUGACAAAAUGAGCUUUGUGGCGAUCAGAUACUGAACUGGAGCCAGCAGAACGAUGACUGAAGCCCCCACCAGAGCGCUCCAGCCCAGCAGCAGAGCUCCACGCAGGUUGAUGCCCGUUUCUAUGGUGACGUAGUAGGAGGCCUGAAGGAAAGUCCUCUGCAGGACCAAAGCCAGGAAGAGAAGAACCGAGAGGACUGAACUGUUCUGCAGGAGCUCAGUGGACGACAUGAAGUAGACUCCUAAAUACGUUUCCUACGAACACAAAAAACUGCUUUAAUAAAACACUCCUGAAAACA